UGCAGAAUCCCGUGAACCAUCGAGUCUUUGAACGCAAGUUGCGCCCGAGGGACCCUCCCGAGGGCACGCCUGCCUCAUGGGCGUUAGAAGCCCAUCCACGCUCGGUUGCCUAACGGCAAAGAUGCGGACAUUGGCCCUCCGAACCGCGAGGCACGGUGGGCCUAAGUGUGCGGCCGUCGUAUGUGGCCGGGAGCGGCGAGUGGUGGGCUACUGCGCACGUCACCCCGAGCCCCGUACCGACGCAUGGCCUUUUUUUGACCCCUAACGAGGAGCCUGCCGUUGCAGAUUGUGCUGCGUGGCGCCUUCGGACCGAUACCCCAGGUCAGGCGGGGCUACCCGCUGAGUUUAAGCAUAUAAAUAAGCGGAGGAGAAGAAACUUACAAGGAUUCCCCUAGUAACGGCGAGCGAACCGGGAGCAGCCCAGCCUUAGAAUCGCGGCGGCACUGCCGCCCGA
RNAcentral lists this ribosomal RNA (454 nucleotides) under Carex elongata. Its description in RNAcentral is "eukaryotic LSU rRNA". The stretch from base 313 to 454 matches the Rfam family "Eukaryotic large subunit ribosomal RNA", at positions 1 to 141 of the family's 3401-position model. Lineage: Eukaryota; Viridiplantae; Streptophyta; Magnoliopsida; Poales; Cyperaceae. The record is from RNAcentral.